Molecule: ribosomal RNA, 274 nt
Filed under: uncultured bacterium
Lineage: Bacteria
Description: partial 16S ribosomal RNA
Rfam family: Bacterial small subunit ribosomal RNA
Source: RNAcentral
AUACGGAGGGUCCGAGCGUUAUCCGGAAUCAUUGGGUUUAAAGGGUCCGCAGGCGGUCAAUUAAGUCAGAGGUGAAAGCCCAUCGCUCAACGAUGGAACUGCCUUUGAUACUGGUUGACUUGAGUUAUACGGAAGUAGAUAGAAUAAGUAGUGUAGCGGUGAAAUGCAUAGAUAUUACUUAGAAUACCGAUUGCGAAGGCAGUCUACUACGUAUAUACUGACGCUGAGGGACGAAAGCGUGGGGAGCGAACAGGAUUAGAUACCCUAGUAGUCC